UACAGAGACUGCAAGCGUCAUUCGGAUUCACUGGGCGUAAAGGGUGCGCAGGCGGUUGUGUGUGUCAGGUGUGAAAGCCCGGGGCUUAACCCCGGAAUUGCGCCUGAAACUACAUGACUAGAGCAUUGGAGAGGGUAGCGGAAUUCACGGUGUAGCAGUGAAAUGCGUAGAUAUCGUGAGGAACACCAGAGGCGAAGGCGGCUACCUGGACAAUUGCUGACGCUCAGGCACGAAAGCGUGGGGAGCAAAAGGG
RNAcentral lists this ribosomal RNA (253 nucleotides) under uncultured bacterium. RNAcentral's name for it is "partial 16S ribosomal RNA". It matches the Rfam family "Bacterial small subunit ribosomal RNA", at positions 524 to 776 of the family's 1533-position model. The record is from RNAcentral.